GGGGCGGUAGCUCAGUUGGUAGAGCACCUGCUUUGCAAGCAGGGGGUCGGCGGUUCGAGCCCGCUCCGCUCCA
This 73-nucleotide transfer RNA is filed under the name Actinomycetota bacterium. Its description in RNAcentral is "tRNA-Ala". It matches the Rfam family "tRNA". Rfam says of the family: Transfer RNA (tRNA) molecules are approximately 80 nucleotides in length. Their secondary structure includes four short double-helical elements and three loops (D, anti-codon, and T loops). Further hydrogen bonds mediate the characteristic L-shaped molecular structure. tRNAs have two regions of fundamental functional importance: the anti-codon, which is responsible for specific mRNA codon recognition, and the 3' end, to which the tRNAs corresponding amino acid is attached (by aminoacyl-tRNA synthetases). tRNAs cope with the degeneracy of the genetic code in two manners: having more than one tRNA (with a specific anti-codon) for a particular amino acid; and 'wobble' base-pairing, i.e. permitting non-standard base-pairing at the 3rd anti-codon position. The record is from RNAcentral. RNAcentral also lists the same sequence under 1 other name. Lineage: Bacteria; Bacillati; Actinomycetota.